Molecule: long non-coding RNA, 2248 nt
Organism: Herpailurus yagouaroundi (jaguarundi)
Lineage: Eukaryota; Metazoa; Chordata; Mammalia; Carnivora; Felidae
Exons: 3
Source: RefSeq, a predicted model, not a curated record
AAGGCGAAGAGCCGGCGAAGGGCUGCGGCUCAGACAGCCCGAUUCAUCGCGAGCGGGCCCCGCCCCAGGCCCGCCCGCCGCGGGCCGCACACCCGGGCUGCCUCCUCCUGCGGACUGUCACGGCCUUUACCCGCAAGAGCAAACAAGAACCCUCGCCUCGCAGGCCUUUCCCAGCCCCCACGGGCGGCACGGCCCAGAAGGAAGCCAACACGGACCCGCGACGCCCCGGUCUGGCUCCCUCCGGUCGCCGAAUAGGGGCGGGGGCCCCGGGCCGCCUCCCCCACUCACUCCCCAAAGCCCGUCUCCCAGGCCCCCGGCCGGGGCUCUCCGGUACGUCGGGGCCGGCAGGGGAGGUGUCAGCGGUUCCGUCCUGGGGCCGCCUACGGGCCCCGGUCCAAGUACCUUCGAACAGGCCGAGCACCGGCGGCGGCGGCUGCAGCUCCAGGCUGAGGGAAGGAGAGGGGCGGGCCACCGAGACAGGCGGAGCCCCAGUUGUGCCAGAGCGGCCUCACGCCGCGUCGGUCGGCGCGCCCUCUGGAGGCGGGAGGCCCCCUCAGCGGCUCGGCCUGCCCUGAGCUAGAAACUCGGAAAAAACCCUCUCUCCAUUAACUGCGCCUGGAGAGGAGAAUGACAACCUCAGAAGAGGCUUUUCAGACCCGAGUCCAGGAGCAUUUCGCACUUUUCACGUCUUUUUCUAAAUAUACAUCCCACCUCCAGCUAAGUGAAGGCUUCAAAGCAAGGACAGUUUUAUUAAAAGCUGUAGGCAUCAACUAAUACUCACUGGCUUCUGGCUUUCGCCAGGGUCCUGCCUGAUGUUGUGCGAGAGGCGCGCUCAGAAAAAGCAGUUCUCACUUUAACACGUGGUCAAAGAAGAAAGAUCACUCAGUGACAACCUGGCACUUUCCAGAUCCUUUUUUGAAGGGGGGCCAAGUCCCUUCAAGGACCACAUGAAGCACUCUCUGAUAAGGUGAAAUGUGCUGAGACAUGAGCAGUGAGGGAUAGCCGACUGUUCAUACGAGCUAUCAGCAGAGGAAACACCGUCCAUUUCUCUCUGGUUUACAACUCCUCGUUGAAGACAGAUACGAUGCCUACGGUGAUGCUGGAGGUUCCUACUUCUCAUCACCAGGCCAGAAAGACUAUUUCCCACCAGAACAAUAUCAGAAUUAGGUGAUGCAUCCUCCACCAAGGACGGGAUAUCAAACAGACCAGAUGCAACCAAUAAUGCACUAUAAUAGCAAGGGUGCGACGGCGAUGAGCCUCGGUAAACGUGUAAAAUGGUAAAGUAUGGUCCCAUUCACACAACAUGAUUUUAAUUACACUCAGCAUGAUUAUACAUGGGUCCAAGUAUGACGAGAAAUGAACUCAAAACUAGCCAUGAAACUACAAUGGUGACCAUUGCACAUCCAAUAUGUGAUGUUUUGGUUUGGCUCCUUAGAAUUUCGGAGAGCUUUGAGAAGAUGAUUUAUUGGAUUGCCUUGGCCUGUUAAAAAGUCACAUAAGGAGAAAUGGGCAGAUAGGCUGUGACUCCUUAUCUGACAUGCUGGCUGCUGGGCUCCCUGUGACUGCUCGGUCACCCACCCAGGUGCUUUGCCCUGUGCUGAAAAAGCCAAGGUCCCUGCAUGGGGCUGGUGGUCUAGUGGGGGAGAUAUAGACACAAGUGAUGCUCUAGCUUGUCCAAUUGAAGACCUCCUUGAUUCUGAUAUCAUGAUUUUGUGAGACACUAAGGAAAAACACUGCCAGUUAAGUUAUGACACAGGGCCUUGUGAUAGUGGUGCACGGUGGGUGAACCGGCCAUGCCGACCUUCCCCGGCUGGUCAUUGCUUUUAUUUCUUCUGAGGCAUUUGGUGAUUCCUCUGGCCUUUAGCUGUUCUUCUUGGCCUGUGCCAGGCAGUCCUUUUGUAUAGAGCUUAGUGAAAAACUGAGCAGUUUCCUCUCCCUGGGCACAUAGAGCCCCUGGUGGUUGCUUUAUAAGAAAAUUUGGAAGUGUGGUCAUUUCUGGCUUUAUGAAUAUAAAGGGGAAAACUGCCACUCUGUCUUUGCCUGUGUAAGUGAUAACUCCCAUUCCAUGAAGAAUCAUAGUGUAUGUAGGGGCAGGGGGCUGGUGAGGCAGGAGAACUGAGGUGGGGGGUAAAUGGAGAGGUAUCACAGAGGCAGCAUCUGUGACCGCCCCACCACGUAGGAGAACCUUCACCACUGAAUCAGGGAAGGGAAAGGAGGCCAGGGGUGCCUGGGUGGCUCAGUCAGUUAA